This is a long non-coding RNA of Onychostoma macrolepis, 683 nucleotides long. RefSeq lists it as uncharacterized. NCBI's taxonomy places the organism in Eukaryota, Metazoa, Chordata, Actinopteri, Cypriniformes, Cyprinidae. The transcript has 4 exons. The record is from RefSeq and is a predicted model, not a curated record.
AUACAAGACAGCUGGAUGCAGAGCGAUCCAGAUUUAGAACGACAUGAGAGAGUGGAGAGAAGAAUAGGAGUGAGAAAAAGGAUACCAAGCAUCAGUUUCUCCACAUCUGCUCCAGUCUGCUCCAGAAGACAAAUCCUCAGAUGGCCUCCAUUUAUACAGCACAAUUUUCCCAUUCUCUAGACCUACAGCCAGCAAAUAACUACACAAAUACAAAGAUAUGGGCAGACAGACACAGCCGUAGCUGAAUCUCCGACAUCCAGAACAGAGGAGCAGGGGGUCACGCUUUCACCCUCACAUUCUCCGACACCGACUCCAGAGCCACAAUGACCCCAGAUGAUUAUCUACAAAAACACAACAAGACUGAGUUUGUGAUAACCCACAGUCCAGCUAUCGAGGACUACGCACCCUGAUGACGCCCACCUUGGCCAGUAACCCUCUCCAUCCGCAUGCCCUGAACAAACCAACACACGCACGCCUCUGCUAAUUAAAGCUUAAGCAACCACGGCUGGCCAGCCACAGACUGGAGAGUCUUAACUCAUUAACCAGAAACACAAAAGAAAAGGAGUCUGAAAAAUGGAGAGAGGGCGGCAGGGGAGGCAACUUGUCUUUGUGAUAGAGAUUUCUCCACACAUGACACCGUUCGACCACAAUGCUGGGCUGUUCUCUGAUCAGCUGUGACACUG